UUUCAUGCAGUCUGCUACGACUGUUAAUGUCAUUUAGUAGCGAAACAUUGCAGUUAUCGAAACUACUU
This is a long non-coding RNA of Maniola jurtina (meadow brown), 68 nucleotides long. RefSeq lists it as uncharacterized. The record is from RefSeq and is a predicted model, not a curated record. NCBI's taxonomy places the organism in Eukaryota, Metazoa, Arthropoda, Insecta, Lepidoptera, Nymphalidae. The transcript has 3 exons.